Molecule: ribosomal RNA, 253 nt
Filed under: uncultured bacterium
Lineage: Bacteria
Description: partial 16S ribosomal RNA
Rfam family: Bacterial small subunit ribosomal RNA
Source: RNAcentral
UACAGAGGGGGCAAGCGUUGUUCGGAAUUACUGGGCGUAAAGGGCGCGUAGGCGGUCUGCUAAGUUGGAUGUGAAAACUCUGGGCUUAACCCAGAGCCUGCAUUCAAUACUGACAGGCUAGAGUUCUGGAGGGGAUAGCGGAAUUCCUGGUGUAGCGGUGAAAUGCGUAGAUAUCAGGAGGAACACCGGUGGCGAAGGCGGCUAUCUGGACAGAGUCUGACGCUGAGGCGCGAAAGCUAGGGGAGCAAACAGG